UGUGUAGGCGGAACAUUAAGUCAGUGGUGAAAUCUUUCAGCUUAACUGGAAAACUGCCAUUGAUACUGCUGUUCUUGAGUUCAGUUGAGGUGGGCGGAAUGUGUAAUGUAGCGGUGAAAUGCUUAGAUAUUACACAGAACACCGAUUGCGAAGGCAGCUCACUAAACUGUUACUGACGCUGAGGCACGAAAGCGUGGGGAGCGAACAGGAUUAGAUAACCUGGUAGUCC
RNAcentral lists this ribosomal RNA (229 nucleotides) under uncultured bacterium. Its description in RNAcentral is "partial 16S ribosomal RNA". It matches the Rfam family "Bacterial small subunit ribosomal RNA", at positions 568 to 796 of the family's 1533-position model. The record is from RNAcentral.